Molecule: ribosomal RNA, 523 nt
Filed under: Amazonian soil bacterium P43
Lineage: Bacteria
Description: bacterial SSU rRNA
Rfam family: Bacterial small subunit ribosomal RNA
Source: RNAcentral
GCAUGGCCGCGGGAUAGUUUGAUCCUGGCUCAGAUUGAACGCUGGCGGCAGGCCUAACACAUGCAAGUCGAGCGGUAACACAGGGAGCUUGCUCCCGGGUGACGAGCGGCGGACGGGUGAGUAAUGUCUGGGAAACUGCCUGAUGGAGGGGGAUAACUACUGGAAACGGUAGCUAAUACCGCAUAAUGUCGCAAGACCAAAGAGGGGGACCUUCGGGCCUCUUGCCAUCAGAUGUGCCCAGAUGGGAUUAGCUAGUAGGUGGGGUAACGGCUCACCUAGGCGACNAUCCCUAGCUGGUCUGAGAGGAUGACCAGCCACACUGGAACUGAGACACGGUCCAGACUCCUACGGGAGGCAGCAGUGGGGAAUAUUGCACAAUGGGCGCAAGCCUGAUGCAGCCAUGCCGCGUGUAUGAAGAAGCCUUCGGGUUGUAAAGUACUUUCAGCGGGGAAGAAGCGGUGAGGUUAAUAACCUCAUCNAUUGACGUUACCCGCAGAAAAAAGCACCGGCUAACUCCGUGCCA